RNAcentral lists this transfer RNA (62 nucleotides) under Ctenocephalides orientis. RNAcentral's name for it is "tRNA-Gly". The record is from RNAcentral. Lineage: Eukaryota; Metazoa; Arthropoda; Insecta; Siphonaptera; Pulicidae.
AUUUUUAUAGUAUAAAAGUAUAUGUAACUUCCAAUUACAAGGUCUAAUUUUUAGUAAAAAUA